UAUUUGAUGGAGUUUGGUUAUGUUACGUGACUUAUGUCUUUGACAUUCGACGGAAAUGAAUCAAUAAAAUGCAGUAUGCAGAAGACCUUGAUAUAUCAAACUAUAGUGACAUGUAAUCUGGCUUGCAACUGAGAAGUUUAACCAUGCUUGUGUGACACCGUCUAGGAUGUUCCCUUCUCAGCCCCUGCUAAGAGUGCAACAAUUAAAAAAAAUUAAGGUAAUUUUUUUAUCUACUUGUCUACUAUAUAUGAUGUUUGUAUACCAGUGUGAUUCAGCCGUCAGUAGUGUGUUUUCUUCAAAUAUAUGGAGACAUUGUUCAUUGUUGUCAUGUUGAGUUAUUGGUGGUGUUACCGCAUCGGACUGGGCUUUGUGCUGGUAUGCCAAGUGCCUCACUUUUCUCCCGAUUUCCUCUGAGCAAUAUGUUCCUUCUUUUUUCCUAAAAUUGAACUAUAAAAACCUAAAUAGUUUGGUUAUAUGGUGUUAUAUAUCCUCAUAGUUUCGCUUUUUCUUAUCUGCCUUGAGAAAUGGACAGAGUAGCUUUGGGUAGGAGGAUCAAGUGAUCACCAAAAUAUUGUUUGAUUUUCCAAACUUAUAUUACAGAUUUGAUCACUUUUCCUUACCAAUUUUAUUUUCUAAACCUGUAUUACUGAGAGAUCUGUUUAUUUUUUGGUCCUUGAUUUCUCACUGUAACAAAUCUUUCACUUUUUUUGUGUUGUAAGAUUAAGUGGUAAGCUCUCUUGUCUUUUUUGGCCAUGCCCGAGGUGUGCUAUUGUUCUAUUGGGCACUGAUACAAUCGAUUGCAAUUUGGGUUGCUUGCCUUUUUUCAGUUACAAUAGCUUAUAAAUGCAAAUCUAACUGUUAAACUUCCAUCCAUCUGGCCAAGACUGUUGAAUAAACAUAUGUGAAGCUGGUUACAUGAGAGAAUAUACAACAUCUUGGUAUUGAUUUAGUUGGUUUAUUGCCAUGAUGUUUUUUUCAGAGAAAAGAGUAAUAUUUUAUUUUUCUGUUUUGUGAUGAAUUUUCACUUGAGAGGACGUGACUAUUAAUAUAUGUUGUGAAUUUCUCUGCUGACUUGCAUCCAAGAAUUGUAGACAAUGAUCUGAUGUAACAGAAAUGAAUGAGUGUUCUUGUGUUAAUAGAUAGCAUACUGACUCAUAGUAUGCCGAAAGUUUGACUAUAGAAAGGACCGAUUAAAUAGGACAUACUUACUCUCACCAAUAGAGCUUAAUGACAAUAUAUUUUCCAUAAGCCUGCUGAGUAUUUCUCCAACCAGGCAACCAUUCCGUUUCAUGGUCAGUUCCUAUCCAUAGGGACCUACUAAUGUGAAAUUAUUGAGUCUGCAGCCGGCAUUUAACUAUCAUGCAGAGAUCUUUACUAUCGAACCAGGAAACAACUUCAUUUUCUCUGUACCUUGGUCAUUUCCUUGCAUUUUCUGAUAAGCUGCCGUCAAACUUUUCUUCUUUCUUCUUUCUUGCUUUAUAAUUGUUUCCUUCACUUUUCUCUUUCUUAUCUCUGUAUGGUGGUUCAGAGUUGUGCUUCUCUUUCGAAGAUUUUCAGUUCUACUAUUUUAAUCCAUCUCAGUUAUCUGAAAUUAUAAUAUAUUUAAAUUGAAUUCUUUUUCCAAUUUACUUCACAAGUGCUAUGUUUUAAUCCUGAUGGGUAUCCCCUAUGCUUACUGACUGUUCAUUCUCUUACCUGCAGUGAUUCCCAGAUCAUAUUAUUUACCUUCAUUCAGGAAAUAGACUACUACAAGAAAUGACUACGUAUGUUGAGCAGCUCAUUGGUACCGCCACAAGAGUCAAUAUAUUAUUUGUGGAAAUAAGGUGCGAGUUAUUGCAAGGAACUGUCCCAUAAAUAUCAAUUCCUUUCUUGCUGCUACAUGCAUACAGUUGCCAUUCCAUAUAGAUGAAGCAUGUGCAUUUCUUUUUCUCUGUUCUGCUUUCGUUGUUAUAGCAAGAUUUCUAGAAACAUAAGCUCAGCCUAAUUGUUUUACUGGUGCCUUCUCUUUAAUCAUAUAAAUAUUAGAGUCGAUCUCAUCUUAAUUUCCUCCCAUUUAUUUCUUACAGUUUGUUUACUUUUUAACCAUGGCUUCAAGCCUAGCUUUUUAGUGUACAUACUUUUUAACCAUGGCUUCAAGCCUAGCUUUUUAAUGUACAUACCUUGUAUGGACGAGUCAAGGAGGUGCCAUCCGUGAGUUAAGGAAUUCUUUAUGAGCAACGCUCAAUUCUGAAUAUUUAUUCUCUUCCUUUCAAUAUUCAGUCAAGGAAAGCGUAUAACUUAUCUGUCCAUGACAAUGAGGUAUUGAAAGCAAGCGAUUCUCUACUGAAAGUAUGUUGCUCCACAGUAAAUACCUUUAUUCUUCGUGGCCAAGAUUGAUUCUUUUGCACUGCUGGCUGCUUGAUUAUGUUGAAGUGAUUCUUUAUCAGGUCAACUCAAUGGAAUGGUUGGGCAAGGAGGAAGAGGCUCCUGUGGUCGACGUCGUUGGCAGCAGGUUGACGGUGGCAUUCAGCUCACGGAGGCAGGUCGACGUGGGUGACCACCUGGAGCAACUCGCACAUCAAAAAGAUGCACCAGGGUACAGAGGAGCUAAAGGACACACUGGUAUGACACAAAGCUCACUGGAACUGUCGGAAACGUCACCGGAGUGCUGUCGGAGUUGGAGAAGAUGAUGCCUGAUCUCCUCGGUUACUACGAGAUGGAGUAGGAAAUGAGGUCCCUGAGGAUCAGAGAAGCAUGGGCAACAAAAAUGAUUCAGGCAGGUUCCUCUGACCUUUCCUGUAGGAUGCUCACUUGCGGCAAUGGCGUGAAUGGCAGCUUGGGCGAUUUGGGGUUUGCAGAGGUCCGGGGAAGAGAGGAAAAGGAGAGCUAGGUCACGGGGAAGGUUUUUAAAGGUGAAGGGGGCGGUGUGGAUGGCCUAGUCAUCGAUGAACCGCGAGCAUCCUGCCGCUGCGCUGCCCGGUGGAGUGGUGCCACGAGGAAGACGACUGACUGAGGAGAGAGAAGUGCUUCUCCUGUUCCAUAAAUUAAUUGAGUACAAGGAAAAGGAUCGGAGGGGAUUCACUAGAACAUAAUACGUUAUUUCCUUUCCUGUUGUUUCUAAUUCACACAAGUUUCUGCCUAACAACUAAUGAGCAUAUAGUUGUUAUAUGAAUUGUGACAACCUGCAGUUUCAAUUUUACGGGUGCUUAUUAUUAGAUAAAGUAGUAAUAUGUAAAUUUCAUGGGAAGCUUAUUAAUUGCGAAUUUUUAGAUACUGUAUUAUUUUUCGGCAGAUGUCUAUAUUUUGUACUUCCUCUGGUGUUGUAGGCCAUUGCUGCAUCGAAACAAUAGUGCAUUCCCAUAAAGUACUGAUCCGGUGUUUGGUCGAAUUUGAAUUGAUGUAGCUUUACCAAACUACUCAUACUAUUAUUUAGUAAUUAUAUAUUGAUAUGUCUAGGUAAUAAUCUUUAGCAAGAUUAGUUCUUCCUUUAAAGAUUUCGUACAUUCCUUACCAAGAUUCUAUUUUUCUAACAUUGAUGCAAAUGUAAUUGACUUGUAGUAUUCCAUAGGGACUAGAUAUUUCGAUGAAAUUGCAGAUCGAUGACAAGUGAAAUUCCUAGGGGUUCCUUGGUAUGCGCAACUGUUUUGUUCAGACUGUAACAACUUCAAACUGAAAAUUUUGUCUACUUUUGAUUAUUGAUACCCCAUACUGUUGGCAUCUGCACCAGUAUGGCAUCUCUGUUGUUGCUCUUGAAAUUACCAAGUACAGUUCCAUCCAAACCCAACCUUGGAAGUAUAAUUGGCUCAUGUUUAUGCUGAUGCUUACUGAGUGAGACUCCUCUUUCUAACCAUUAUUAUUAUGACAUUGUAUUGAAUGUUCUCCAGGGAUGUCUCAUUUAACUACAUAGUUCACACAUAGCCUGUUUCUUUUCUGCAAUCAUUGGUACUCCAGGAUUUCCUCUUCAUUGGCUUGUUAAACUGCAGGUGCAGGUCAUUGAAAUGUCCCUGUGAAUCCAUUAGAAACACGCAUGCUAAAGUGGGAACAGAAAAGAGUGAUGGUUCCAGGCUUAAGUCCUCGGUGAAGAAAGCUAUGUUGGAUGUUGGGUGCAGAGACCAAGAACAAAAAGGAUUAGCUCUGUGCUCACAGGAUGGCGACGAAUAAUGACAUGGCAGCCCCUCCUACGAGUGCUGGACUAGACUGCAUACAGGUGCUGCUUCGUCAGGUCAAUUCUUCCACGCAAGACGGGGAGGCCUUCAUCGAGCUUCAUGGAACCCUUCGCUGCUCCUUGCUUCUUCCGGCGGUUCUCAUGAUUUCGUGUGUAUUAUCCUAAUUUGAUCCUAUAGACUUUGUUUUGUAAAAUCAGAGAAACCUAUUACCAUUUUU
Non-coding RNA from Lolium perenne, 4362 nucleotides. NCBI's taxonomy places the organism in Eukaryota, Viridiplantae, Streptophyta, Magnoliopsida, Poales, Poaceae. The record is from RefSeq and is a predicted model, not a curated record.